AGCCGUGUAUUCAAUAUGUAUCGUAUAAUCAGCCUAAUAUGGGGGCUAAGUUUCUACCGCGAGCCUAUAACGUCGCGACUACGAUAUGAAAACCAUUUUUU
RNAcentral lists this non-coding RNA (101 nucleotides) under Acholeplasma brassicae. RNAcentral describes it as "Purine riboswitch aptamer". It matches the Rfam family "Purine riboswitch aptamer". From Rfam's summary of the family: Riboswitches are metabolite binding domains within certain messenger RNAs that serve as precision sensors for their corresponding targets. RNAcentral also lists the same sequence under 1 other name. Lineage: Bacteria; Bacillati; Mycoplasmatota; Mollicutes; Acholeplasmatales; Acholeplasmataceae. The record is from Rfam by way of RNAcentral.